GCCUCGUCCCUAACUGAAUGCUUGCUACUGAUGCUGCCUCGUCGCAUUUGGAUGUUCAGCUGAAUGCUUGCCGCGUCUUGCCUUCUUGCUAACUAAAUGCUUGCCGCGUCUUGCCUUCUUGCUAACUAAAUGCUUGCUACUGGCUGCAGCGGCACAUCUGUAAUUCUUUUUUUUUGAGUUCCUGCAUGUUCAUUUGAUUUUGAUUUUGGUCAGUUACCUAAUAACUAAACGCUUGCCAUUACGCUCAUUUUCAGUUACCUGCAUGUUCUCAUAGCUUCACCACACUACUACUUUUUUUCCAAGGCGGGCAAAAACGAUUUUCCGAGGCGAGCAUCACAACCACCUCGGAUCGAAGACCAUGCUAAAUCAACGAUUUACCGAGGCGGUUUGAUGCCCGCCUCGGUUAAUAAAAUUAAAAAAACAAAAAAGAAAGAAAAAGAGCCCGUAUCCAACCCUUAUUGGGCUUGGAUCCAUCGCCCUGCAUACCGCCGCCGCCGCUGCCAGGAGCAGGCCACGCGCACCGCCGCUCCUCCUUCACCGCCGCGCCUGGAUCCACCCUCCUGGACACUGGAUCCGCCCUUUCAGAAACCAUUGUGGAGGUGUCGCCUGGCGAUGUGGAGGCAGAGGAGCUCACCGUCGUGCCUUCUUGCUUCGAGAGAAAGACACAGAGGGACGCCCACCGCCGGAUCCACCUUGCCCGCGCCACUAGCCUCGCCCUCC
This 720-nucleotide long non-coding RNA is filed under the name Sorghum bicolor (sorghum). Its description in RNAcentral is "long non-coding RNA (SBIC_LNC004450)". Lineage: Eukaryota; Viridiplantae; Streptophyta; Magnoliopsida; Poales; Poaceae. The record is from RNAcentral.